UCCUGAUAGCUCAGUUGGUAAAGAAUCUGCCUGCAAUGCAGGAGACCCUGGUUUGAUUCCUGGGUCAGGAA
This is a transfer RNA of Ovis aries (sheep), 71 nucleotides long. It matches the Rfam family "tRNA". Rfam says of the family: Transfer RNA (tRNA) molecules are approximately 80 nucleotides in length. Their secondary structure includes four short double-helical elements and three loops (D, anti-codon, and T loops). Lineage: Eukaryota; Metazoa; Chordata; Mammalia; Artiodactyla; Bovidae. The record is from Rfam.